This is a long non-coding RNA of Malaclemys terrapin pileata, 267 nucleotides long. RefSeq lists it as uncharacterized. The transcript has 3 exons. The record is from RefSeq and is a predicted model, not a curated record. NCBI's taxonomy places the organism in Eukaryota, Metazoa, Chordata, Testudines, Emydidae.
AUAACCUAGUAGAAUUUUGGUAGAAGCUAUGAAUGGCUACAGAAACCUUGAAGAAAUUCACUGGAUCAGCAAUUCUCCAACGCUGUGACACUCUUGCUACUUUCCCCAGACCUGAAGAAGAGCGCUUGUAGUGCUAAAGCUUGUCUCUGUCACCAUGAUAAGUUGGUUCAACAAAAGACACUGCCUCACCUCCACCGUGUCUAAUUUCUGACUUAUCUUGCCGUCUAAUAUCCAGCAAAUGCAGGUUACCAAUGAUCGGAAGAGGAG